Non-coding RNA from Merluccius polli (Benguela hake), 79 nucleotides. The record is from the annotation of a GenBank genome assembly. NCBI's taxonomy places the organism in Eukaryota, Metazoa, Chordata, Actinopteri, Gadiformes, Merlucciidae.
GGGGAUAUAGGGUACAGCCAGUGGUUAGGCUGUUUGACUCCCAGUCAAAAGGUUCUUGGUUCAAACCCCAAUGUCUGCA